GGGCCCGCACAAGCGGUGGAGCAUGUGGUUUAAUUCGAUGCAACGCGAAAAACCUUACCUACCCUUGACAUUUUUGGAAUCUUUUGGAGACAAGAGAGUGCCUUCGGGAACCAAUAAACAGGUGCUGCAUGGCUGUCGUCAGCUCGUGUCGUGAGAUGUAGGGUUAAGUCCCAUAACGAGCGCAACCCUUAUCUAUAGUUGCCAGCGCAUAAUGGCGGGAACUCUAUAGAGACUGCCGGUGAUAAACCGGAGGAAGGUGAGGACGACGUCAAGUCAUCAUGGCCCUUACGAGUAGGGCUACACACGUGCUACAAUGGGGAAUACAGACGGACGCUAAGCCGCGAGGUGGUGCUAAUCCUAUAAAGUUCUUCGUAGUCCGGAUUGGAGUCUGCAACUCGACUCCAUGAAGUCGGAAUCGCUAGUAAUCG
Molecule: ribosomal RNA, 428 nt
Filed under: uncultured bacterium
Lineage: Bacteria
Description: bacterial SSU rRNA
Rfam family: Bacterial small subunit ribosomal RNA
Source: RNAcentral